RNAcentral lists this ribosomal RNA (465 nucleotides) under uncultured bacterium. RNAcentral's name for it is "partial 16S ribosomal RNA". It matches the Rfam family "Bacterial small subunit ribosomal RNA", at positions 28 to 507 of the family's 1533-position model. The record is from RNAcentral.
GACGAACGCUGGCGGCGUGCUUAACACAUGCAAGUCGAACGGAAAGGCCCCCUUGUGGGGUACUCGAGUGGCGAACGGGGGAGUAACACGUGAGUAACCUACCCUUGACUUUGGGAUAACUUCAGGAAACUGGGGCUAAUACCGGAUAGGAGCUCCUGCUGCAUGGUGGGGGUGGGAAAGUUUCGGCGGUUGGGGAUGGACUCGCGGCUUAUCAGCUUGUUGGUGGGGUAGUGGCUUACCAAGGCGUUGACGGGGAGCCGGCCUGCGGGGGGGACCGGCCACAUUGGGACUGAGAUACGGGCCCGACCCCUACGGGGGGGAGGAGGGGGGAAAAUUGGACAAUGGGCGGAAGCCUGAUGCAGCAACGCCGCGGGGGGGAUGACGGCCUUCGGGUUUGAAACCGCUUUCGCCUGUGACGAAGCGGGAGUGGCGGGAAUGGGUAAAGGAACACCGGGUAACUACGUU